UCGAUUGCUACUGAAUGCUCACUUAUUUCUCAUAGCCGAUAGACCUAUAAUUUCCUGCAAUCUUGCGUAUAUUUCAUAGUGCGUUAAGAAUACCGCCCGCCGGAUAUUAAAACAGGAGUUUUCCUCUGACGAAUGCAUUUCGGCUAUUCAAUGCACCUCCUGGCUUCCACGCUUUUUUCUUUUGCACUGAUAUAUGGCCGAGGAGAACCAAGUGAUGUUACGGACGUCCAAUUUUACAAGAACACGUGUAAGUAUGGCAACAAAUUUUUUGUGGAUGUGAACUACCCUGAGCAACAGUGCAAAAGAGUCACCUGCAAAGCACACGACAGAGUUCUUUCUGUCGAACGGUGCCUGCAAACAACGGUGCGUGAUCCAUCAUGUCACCUCGUAACAGGCAGGGAAAAUCUAAAGUUUCCAUUUUGCUGCCGAAUUUACAUCUGCGGC
Long non-coding RNA from Rhipicephalus sanguineus (brown dog tick), 444 nucleotides. RefSeq lists it as uncharacterized. The record is from RefSeq and is a predicted model, not a curated record. The transcript is spliced from 4 exons. NCBI's taxonomy places the organism in Eukaryota, Metazoa, Arthropoda, Arachnida, Ixodida, Ixodidae.